RNAcentral lists this transfer RNA (72 nucleotides) under Camelus bactrianus (Bactrian camel). It matches the Rfam family "tRNA". From Rfam's summary of the family: Transfer RNA (tRNA) molecules are approximately 80 nucleotides in length. Their secondary structure includes four short double-helical elements and three loops (D, anti-codon, and T loops). The record is from Rfam by way of RNAcentral. RNAcentral also lists the same sequence under 2 other names. Lineage: Eukaryota; Metazoa; Chordata; Mammalia; Artiodactyla; Camelidae.
GUGGGUACAGCUCAGUGGUAGAGCACAUGCUUAGCAUGCAGGAGGUCUUGGGUUCAAUUCCCAGCACCUCCA